RNAcentral lists this ribosomal RNA (523 nucleotides) under uncultured bacterium. RNAcentral's name for it is "partial 16S ribosomal RNA". It matches the Rfam family "Bacterial small subunit ribosomal RNA", at positions 28 to 523 of the family's 1533-position model. The record is from RNAcentral.
GACGAACGCUGGCGGCGUGCCUAAUACAUGCAAGUCGAACGAAGCUGUUUUAACUGGUGCUUGCACCGACUUAAACAACUGAGUGGCGAACGGGUGAGUAACACGUGGGUAACCUGCCCCAAAGCGGGGGAUACAUUUGGAAACAGAUGCUAAUACCGCAUAACCACAGAAACCACAUGGUUUCUGUGUCAAAGAUGGUCUCGGCUAUCACUUUGGGAUGGACACGCGGCGUAUUAGCUAGUUGGUAAGGUAAUGGCUUACCAAGGCAAUGAUACGUAGCCGAACUGAGAGGUUGAUCGGCCACAUUGGGACUGAGACACGGCCCAAACUCCUACGGGAGGCAGCAGUAGGGAAUCUUCCACAAUGGACGAAAGUCUGAUGGAGCAACGCCGCGUGAGUGAAGAAGGUUUUCGGAUCGUAAAACUCUGUUGUCAGAGAAGAACGUGUGCGAGAGUAACUGCUCGUGCAGUGACGGUAUCUGGCCAGAAAGCCACGGCUAACUACGUGCCAGCAGCCGCGGUAA